RNAcentral lists this long non-coding RNA (768 nucleotides) under Prunus dulcis (almond). RNAcentral describes it as "sRNA ncRNA". The record is from RNAcentral. Lineage: Eukaryota; Viridiplantae; Streptophyta; Magnoliopsida; Rosales; Rosaceae.
AUGAAACGGGAAGCAAAAGCUUUUCCUUAUGAUAAACCCAAAGCUGUACUCUUCCACAAGUCAGUGAAGUCACCUCAACGUCCUACCCAUAUCACCAUGAAUAUCACCAGAAACACUAAGCCUCAUCAGCUUUUGGAUUCUCUCUAAGGCCAAGAUCCAAAAACCUACUGCAUUUUCCACUCUCUCUUUCAAGUUUCCAGAAUGGAAGAAGAAGAGAAACCCUCAACAGAGCUAACCCUAGCCACUACUUCCAGUGCACCUCAGUCUCAGUGCCCACCAGAAGAUAUAGUUUGGACAACUUUGACUUUGGGGCUUCCAUCUUCAACCUCCGAGAAGAGAGAAGCAGUGGAUCAAAACCCUGCUCCUUCCAUGAAAAAGGGCCCUUGGGAGAUCAAGAAGAGGUUGACCACAAGCGACCUUCGAAACCGGUGCAAGCUUUUGGCUAGAAGUUUGGAGAAACAUGUUAUGCCCUGCUUGGAUGAGGAGUUUGGACAAAGGGUUUCGAGCAGAGAGGGUGCAAGGGUUAUAGUUUACGAUUGCGAUACAAAUUCCAACCAUCAACUGAUUCUCAAGUAUUACAAGAGCUCCGACAGUUAUGUUUUCGGUAGAAAGUGGGGGAAGUUUGUGAGGAGGAGAGACUUGAACAUGGGUGACGAAAUUGGGCUCAGCUGGGAUGUUCUCGACUCCAGGUUCUUGUUUUCGGUUCUUCAACGGGCAAACCAACAACCUGCUAGCUCUUCAUCGAAUUCAAGAACGAAGCAUAAAUGA